This 84-nucleotide unclassified non-coding RNA is filed under the name synthetic construct. The record is from RNAcentral.
CCUCCCGGGAGAGCCGCUAAGGGGGAAACUCUAUGCGGUACUGCCUGAUAGGGUGCUUGCGAGUGCCCCGGGAGGUCUCGUAGA